RNAcentral lists this ribosomal RNA (483 nucleotides) under uncultured bacterium. Its description in RNAcentral is "partial 16S ribosomal RNA". It matches the Rfam family "Bacterial small subunit ribosomal RNA", at positions 28 to 507 of the family's 1533-position model. The record is from RNAcentral.
GACGAACGCUGGCGGCGUGCUUAACACAUGCAAGUCGAACGCUGAAGCUCAGCUUUUGUUGGGUGGAUGAGUGGCGAACGGGUGAGUAACACGUGAGUAACCUGCCCCCUUCUUUGGGAUAACGCCCGGAAACGGGUGCUAAUACUGGAUAUUCACUGGUCUUCGCAUGGGGGUUGGUGGAAAGGGUUUUUCUGGUGGGGGAUGGGCUCGCGGCCUAUCAGCUUGUUGGUGGGGUGAUGGCCUACCAAGGCUUUGACGGGUAGCCGGCCUGAGAGGGUGACCGGUCACAUUGGGACGGAGAUACGGCCCAGACUCCUACGGGGGGCAGCAGUGGGGAAUAUUGCACAAUGGGCGCAAGCCUGAUGCAGCGACGCCGCGUGAGGGAUGGAGGCCUUCGGGUUGUGAACCUCUUUCGCUCAUGGUCAAGCCGCAACAAUGGUUGUGGUGAGGGUAGUGGGUAAAGAAGCGCCGGCUAACUACGUG